This 3253-nucleotide long non-coding RNA is filed under the name Homo sapiens (human). Its description in RNAcentral is "non-protein coding lnc-GALNT7-2:1". The record is from RNAcentral. Lineage: Eukaryota; Metazoa; Chordata; Mammalia; Primates; Hominidae.
CUUCACAAUAACCAUGCUAUUAUACUGACCACUCAUUACAUAAUUUACCAGAAAAUUAUGCAGAAGUAGCAUAAGUCUUUCCAACAUUAAUGCAAAGACAUUAUCACUGAUUUUGAUUUUGAGAUGUGGUCUCAGGUAAAGUGAUAAUUGUAUUAAAACUAAUCUUUUUUUCAAAUGCAUUCCAAGAUCUCAAUUUUCUCCCUCAAAUAUUACCAUAAAAACUGAUGUCUUAGCCCACACAAUCCUUUCUAUCAAAUUCCUCACAACCAGGCUUUGGAUAGAGGGAAUUUCUAAGCCCUGCUGUGGCCGUCUCCACCUGCUCUUCCACGCCAUUCCUCCUUCUUCCAUGCGCACACUUAUAUCUCUAAGAACCUAUCUCACGAAUCAAUAUUCUACCUCUGUUAGCUCAACUCUCCGAGUCAUUCUAGUUGAGGAAAAAAGAGUGGGAAAGUAAAAUUACCACUGUGGUCAAGAUUAAGACAACUUAAACCAGAAGCUGAAUUCCAACCUCUGUGAAGCAUGAAGAACACCGAGAAACACAGGCUGCUAGGAAUUACUGCCUUGACUCUACCUUGAGAUUUCAGCCUUUCCAGUUCCCUUAUAUCUAGUAAAGCAUCAUUAAUUUGGGGCUUCACUAAUUCAAAAAUUGUUAAGAGUUCACACAGGUACUCUGUUGAAGUUUAAUUUUACACUAAGAAUAAUGACAGAUUGCAAACAAUACUAGUAGCAUUAGGAGGAUAUUCACUAUAAAAAACCUUAUCUUCACAAUACAUAUAAAGAGGAUAGUCACAAAAAAUGUAUCUUCAUAAUAUAUAAGGGGGAUAGUCACAAAAAAAGAUCUUCAAGUACUGCAAAAGAACUUGUUUGUUUACAAUAUUAUGCUUAAAAUAUAUGUUACAGUCCCUCUCAGGAAAUUCUAAGCAGUCAUUACAUUAUUACACAUUGCUAGAAGGAAAUGAUAGUUUUCAGACUAAUUUGAAGUAGCUUUUCUCCCAAAGAUUUCCAAAAUAUUUUUUAAUAAACACAAACACAUUGCAAUACUGUUUAGUGCAUUUAAUAAAAUGGAAAAUAGUACACUAGUACUGUGAUUAUACUUUAGUUUCAAGAGAUAAUUGUUAAUAUACAUGUAUAUAUUUUAGAUAGGGUCUCACUCUGUUGCUCAGGCUGGAUUGAGAUGGUAUGAUUUUGACUCACUGCAGCCUGGCCUCCCAGGCUCAAUUGAUCCUCCCACCUCAGCUUCCCAAGUAGCUGGGACUACAGGCACACACGACCAUGCCUGGCUAAUUUUUGUAUUUUUUGUAGAGACAGGGUUUUGUCAUGUUGCCCAGGUUGGCCUCAAACUCCUGAGUUAAAGCAAUCCAACCGCCUUGGCCUCCCAAACUGAUUAUUAAUUUUAAAAUGUCCGUUGGUAACCACUCUUAACAUAUUUUACCCGUAGAGAAUUUUUCUGAAGAAAAAUAAUUAACAUAGAAACAGAAAUGUCAAAAUUUGUCUAAUUAUCUAAUUUACUCAUUACUGACCCAUACUGGUUUUAUUGAUUUUAUUUAUAUGCUAUGUGUUUUAAUUAUCUAUUGUAUAAUAAAUUACCCCAAAACUUAGCAGCUUAAAACAACAAACAUGUAUUAUCUUACAUGGUUUCUGAGAGUUAGUUCUCUGGGGGUGGCUAAGCUGGGUGGCGCUGGCUUGGCUGUCAUUGCAGCUGUUGUCUCGACUGAAGGCUGAGGGAGGAUCCACUUCCAGGCUUUCUCCAUGGUUGUUGGCAGGCCUCAGUUACUUGCCUGAGUUCUCAGGCUGGAGUCCUCAGUUCCUUAGCAAAUGAGACUCCAGAGGCUGUUUGAGUGUCCUCUCAUAUGACAGUUUGCUUCCCCACAGCAAAUGAUCCAAGAGAGAAAGAGUGUGACUGCCUACGAUGGAAGCCAUGGUCUUGAUGACCUAACAACAUACCAUAUGACAUAUCAUCACUUCUGCUCAGUUCUACUGCUCGCAUAGACCAACCCUGGCACAAAGUGGGAAGGGACUUCACAAGCAUGUGGAUACCAAGACACAGGGUGUGAAUACCAGGAGGCGGAGAUCACUGGGAUCCAUUUUGGGGCUUUGCUAACACACUAUGAUUUUUUAAAAGAAGAAUACAAAAAAAAGGGAAGAAAACACAAUAUGGGGGAAGGAAAUGUUCACUCAGAAGGUCCAGAAACACAUUCAAAUAUAUAUAAAAAUACUGUAUACUAAAGAAUGGUCUCUAUAUAUUUGAGUAUGUUUCUGGGCUUUAUUUUUAUUUUAUUUAUUUGAGCCACUGUGCCCAGGCUUUAUUUUUAUUUUUUGAGAUAGGGUCUCACUCUAUCACACAGGCUGGAGUGCAAUGGUGCAGUCACAGAUCACUAUAGCCUUGACCUCCCAUGCUCAAGUAACCCUCCCACCUCAGCCUCCUGAGUAGCUGGCACUACAGACAAUGUGCCACCUCACCUGGUGAAUUUUUUGAGACAGUCUCCCUCUGUCACCUAGGCUGGAGUGCAAUGGUGCGAUCUCGGCUCACUGCAACCUCCACCUCCCUAAUUCAAGCAAUUCUCUUGCCUCAGCCUCCCAAGUACCUGGGACUACAGGCGUGCACCACCGCGCCCAGCUAAUUUUUGUGUUUUUAGUAGAGAUGGGAUUUCACCAUGUUGGCCAGGCUGGUCUCAAACUCCUGACCUUGUGAUUCACCCCCUUGGCCUUACAGGCGUGAGCCACUGCACCGGGCCAUCUGGUGAAUUUUUUAAAUCUUUUGUAGAGACAAGGUCUCUCUAUGUUGCCCAGGCUGGCCUUGAGCAAUCCAUGUGCUCAGGUGAUCAAGUGAUCUCACUAUGUUGCCCAACUCCUGGUCUCAAGUGAUCUGCCUUGGUCUCAAAGUGCUGGGAUUACAGGUAUAAGCCACCAUGCCCAACUCAUUUCUGGGCUAUUUCAGUCCAUUGAUCUGGCUAUUACAGCAUCACCAUUAUACUGGUUUUGAUUAUUAUAUUAUUAAAACGUAGUAUCUGGUAGAAGAAAAAGAGAAGAAAAUUUUAAUUUUUAACAAUAACAAAAGUGUAAUUUAAAAAAAAAACUUUGCAACAGCUUUUUUUGUUUGUUUGUUUGAGAUGGAGUCUUGCUCUGUUGCCCAGGCUGGAGUGCAGUGGUGUGAUCUCGGCUCACUGCAACCCCUACCUCCCAGGUUCAAGCGAUUCUCCUGCCUCAGCCUCCCAAGUAGCUGGGAUACAGGCAUGCACCACCAUGCCUGGCU